RNAcentral lists this ribosomal RNA (465 nucleotides) under Vreelandella stevensii. Its description in RNAcentral is "partial 16S ribosomal RNA". It matches the Rfam family "Bacterial small subunit ribosomal RNA", at positions 338 to 795 of the family's 1533-position model. Lineage: Bacteria; Pseudomonadati; Pseudomonadota; Gammaproteobacteria; Oceanospirillales; Halomonadaceae. The record is from RNAcentral.
CCUACGGGGGGCAGCAGUGGGGAAUAUUGGACAAUGGGGGCAACCCUGAUCCAGCCAUGCCGCGUGUGUGAAGAAGGCCCUCGGGUUGUAAAGCACUUUCAGUGAGGAAGAACGCCUGGUGGUUAAUACCCAUCAGGAAAGACAUCACUCACAGAAGAAGCACCGGCUAACUCCGUGCCAGCAGCCGCGGUAAUACGGAGGGUGCGAGCGUUAGUCGGAAUUACUGGGCGUAAAGCGCGCGUAGGUGGCUUGAUAAGCCGGUUGUGAAAGCCCCGGGCUCAACCUGGGAACGGCAUCCGGAACUGUCAAGCUAGAGUGCAGGAGAGGAAGGUAGAAUUCCCGGUGUAGCGGUGAAAUGCGUAGAGAUCGGGAGGAAUACCAGUGGCGAAGGCGGCCUUCUGGACUGACACUGACACUGAGGUGCGAAAGCGUGGGUAGCAAACAGGAUUAGAUACCCUGGUAGUC